Molecule: ribosomal RNA, 567 nt
Filed under: uncultured bacterium
Lineage: Bacteria
Description: bacterial SSU rRNA
Rfam family: Bacterial small subunit ribosomal RNA
Source: RNAcentral
CCUACGGGAGGCAGCAGUGGGGAAUAUUGGGCAAUGGAGGAAACUCUGACCCAGCGACGCCGCGUGAGGGAUGAAGGCCUUCGGGUUGUAAACCUCUUUCAGUAGGGAAGAAGCGAAAGUGACGGUACCUACAGAAGAAGCACCGGCUAACUAUGUGCCAGCAGCCGCGGUAAUACAUAGGGUGCAAGCGUUGUCCGGAAUUAUUGGGCGUAAAGAGCUCGUAGGUGGUUCGAUACGUCGGAUGUGAAAAUCAGGGGCUCAACCCCUGACCUGCAUCCGAUACGGUCGAGCUAGAGUUUGGUAGGGGAGACUGGAAUUCCUGGUGUAGCGGUGGAAUGCGCAGAUAUCAGGAGGAACACCGAUGGCGAAGGCAGGUCUCUGGGCCAAUACUGACACUGAGGAGCGAAAGUGCGGGGAGCGAACAGGAUUAGAUACCCUGGUAGUCCGCACCGUAAACGGUGGGCACUAGUUGUGGGAACCUUCCACGGUUUCCGCGACGCAGCAAACGCAUUAAGUGCCCCGCCUGGGGAGUACGAUCGCAAGAUUAAAACUCAAAUGAAUUGACGG